RNAcentral lists this ribosomal RNA (476 nucleotides) under uncultured organism. Its description in RNAcentral is "partial 16S ribosomal RNA". It matches the Rfam family "Bacterial small subunit ribosomal RNA", at positions 332 to 799 of the family's 1533-position model. The record is from RNAcentral.
UGCACUCCUACGGGAGGCAGCAGUGGGGAAUAUUGCACAAUGGGCGCAAGCCUGAUGCAGCCAUGCCGCGUGUAUGAAGAAGGCCUUCGGGUUGUAAAGUACUUUCAGCGGGGAGGAAGGCGAUAAGGUUAAUAACCUUGUUGAUUGACGUUACCCGCAGAAGAAGCACCGGCUAACUCCGUGCCAGCAGCCGCGGUAAUACGGAGGGUGCAAGCGUUAAUCGGAAUUACUGGGCGUAAAGCGCACGCAGGCGGUCUGUCAAGUCGGAUGUGAAAUCCCCGGGCUCAACCUGGGAACUGCAUUCGAAACUGGCAGGCUAGAGUCUUGUAGAGGGGGGUAGAAUUCCAGGUGUAGCGGUGAAAUGCGUAGAGAUCUGGAGGAAUACCGGUGGCGAAGGCGGCCCCCUGGACAAAGACUGACGCUCAGGUGCGAAAGCGUGGGGAGCAAACAGGAUUAGAAACCCGAGUAGUCCCAUG